Molecule: ribosomal RNA, 249 nt
Filed under: uncultured bacterium
Lineage: Bacteria
Description: partial 16S ribosomal RNA
Rfam family: Bacterial small subunit ribosomal RNA
Source: RNAcentral
GAUCCUGGCUCAGGAUGAACGCUAGCUACAGGCUUAACACAUGCAAGUCGAGGGGCAGCAUGGACCCAGCUUUGCUGGGUUUGAUGGCGACCGGCGCACGGGUGAGUAACGCGUAUCCAACCUGCCCUUUACUCCGGUAUAGUCUCCUGAAAGGGAGUUUAAUACCGGAUGUGUUUGUCUUUCCGCAUGUGAGCGACAAAUAAAGAUUAAUUGGUAAAGGAUGGGGAUGCGUCCCAUUAGCUUGUUGGG